RNAcentral lists this transfer RNA (72 nucleotides) under Ovis aries (sheep). It matches the Rfam family "tRNA". From Rfam's summary of the family: Transfer RNA (tRNA) molecules are approximately 80 nucleotides in length. Their secondary structure includes four short double-helical elements and three loops (D, anti-codon, and T loops). Further hydrogen bonds mediate the characteristic L-shaped molecular structure. tRNAs have two regions of fundamental functional importance: the anti-codon, which is responsible for specific mRNA codon recognition, and the 3' end, to which the tRNAs corresponding amino acid is attached (by aminoacyl-tRNA synthetases). tRNAs cope with the degeneracy of the genetic code in two manners: having more than one tRNA (with a specific anti-codon) for a particular amino acid; and 'wobble' base-pairing, i.e. permitting non-standard base-pairing at the 3rd anti-codon position. Lineage: Eukaryota; Metazoa; Chordata; Mammalia; Artiodactyla; Bovidae. The record is from Rfam by way of RNAcentral.
UCCCUUGUGGUCUAGUGGGUAAGACUCUAUGUUCCCAAUGCAGGGGCCCAGGUGUGAUUCCUGGUUGAGGAA